CUGAGACACGGUUCCUACUCCUACGGGAGGCAGCAGUGGGGAAUUUUGGACAAUGCACGGAAGUGUGAUCCAGCGACGCCGCGUGAAGGAAGAAGUCCUUCGGGAUGUAAACUUCUGAACUUACAGAAUAACAGCAUAAGGGGACUUAUGUAUGAAGGUAAGUAAGGAAAAGCCCCGGCUAACUACGUGCCAGCAGCCGCGGUAAGACGUAGGGGGCGAGCGUUGCCCGGAAUCACUGGGCGUAAAGGGGGCGUAGGCGGUCUCAUAAGUCAGGUGUGAAAUGUCACUGCUCAACGGUGUCAGUGCGCAUGAAACUGUGAGACUUGAGGGUACCAGAGGUAGACAGAAUUACCUGAGUAGGGGUGAAAUCCGUAGAUACAGGUAAGAAUGCCAGUGGGGAAGCCGGUCUACUGGGGUGACCCUGACGCUGAGGCCCGAAAGCUAGGGUAGCAAACCGGAUUAGAUACCCGGGUAGUCCUAGCAGUAAACGAUGCUCACUAGGUGUGGGGCAAGAAAGCUCCGUGCUGAAGCAAACGCGAUAAGUGAGCCGCCUGGGGAGUACGCCCGCAAGGGUGAA
RNAcentral lists this ribosomal RNA (577 nucleotides) under Geotoga sp. MEFN. RNAcentral's name for it is "bacterial SSU rRNA". It matches the Rfam family "Bacterial small subunit ribosomal RNA", at positions 319 to 898 of the family's 1533-position model. RNAcentral also lists the same sequence under 2 other names. Lineage: Bacteria; Thermotogati; Thermotogota; Thermotogae; Petrotogales; Petrotogaceae. The record is from RNAcentral.